RNAcentral lists this ribosomal RNA (253 nucleotides) under uncultured bacterium. RNAcentral describes it as "partial 16S ribosomal RNA". It matches the Rfam family "Bacterial small subunit ribosomal RNA", at positions 524 to 776 of the family's 1533-position model. The record is from RNAcentral.
UACGUAGGGGGCAAGCGUUGUCCGGAAUCACUGGGCGUAAAGCGUGCGUAGGCGGUUGAUUAAGUCUGCUGUGAAAGCCCUGGGCUCAACCUGGGAACUGCAGUGGAUACUGGUCAGCUAGAGUGUGAUAGAGGAUGGUGGAAUUCCCGGUGUAGCGGUGAAAUGCGUAGAGAUCGGGAGGAACACCAGUGGCGAAGGCGGCCAUCUGGAUCAACACUGACGCUGAGGCACGAAAGCGUGGGGAGCAAACAGG